This 3973-nucleotide long non-coding RNA is filed under the name Sus scrofa (pig). Its description in RNAcentral is "lncRNA (ENSSSCG00065061463.1)". Lineage: Eukaryota; Metazoa; Chordata; Mammalia; Artiodactyla; Suidae. The record is from RNAcentral.
GACUUCAAAAGCGUGCUGCUUCCCACUACUCCCUGGCAUCUGCUAGUGAAGUCAUUUCUAUUUUACGUGAUAUUAGCGGUCAGUAAUCUAUGAAGUUUUGGCAAAGAGCACUGUGACUUACAGGAGCUCUACUACUUGACUCAUUUGAAAAUCCGUAGAUUUGAAGACUUUAAUGGUCUUUUCUCCCCUCUGGGAUUCUGUGAGAUUCUGUAAAUUCUAAGCACACUGCCGCCAAUGGAUUCCUACCAUUGUUAUUUAACAUUUAUGGUAAGUCUGUGCUUUAACUUUACACAAAAAUGACAGUUUUCUAUUUGCACAGAAAUAUUUGCACAGGAGUUCCCAGGCUAGGGGUUGAAUCGGAGCUGUAGCCACCGGCCUACGCCAGAGCCACAGCAACGCGGGAUCCGAGCCAAGUCUGCAACCUACACCACAGCUCACGGCAACGCCGGAUCGUUAACCCACUGAGCAAGGGCAGGGACCGAACCUGCAUGGUUCCUAGUCGGAUUCGUUAACCACUGCGCCACGACGGGAACUCCUGACUUUUUCAUUUUACAAAAUGAAUAUAAGAACAUUCAUAUCUUGUAUAUCCUUUGUGGAAUAACUGACCAUCAAGGUCAGCUUAUCUUGAUCAUACUGCAUUCAGGGAGCCAAAAUUUAGGCCACGGAUAAAUUUCUUAAUGCUCAUUUUAUCUAAUUAACUCUUACAAUGGUAUUGGGUUAUCUUCCCCACUCACAGCUCCUGGGGCAAAUGGGACAGCAAGUAGCAUACAGAGAUGGCUCUGCAUUGCAUGGCUUCUUCUUUUUUUUUUUUUCUUUUUCUUUUAGGUCCACAUCUGUGGCAUAUGGAGUUCCUAAGCUAGGGGUCUAAUUGGAGCUACAGCUGCCGGCUUACACCACGUCCACAGCAACACAGGAUCCGAGCCGCCUCUGUGACCUACACCACAGCUCACGGCAACACCAGAUCCUUAACCCACUGAGCAAGGCCAGGAAUUGAACCUGCAUCCUCAUGGAUGGUAGUCACAUUUAGUUCCCCUGAGCCACAACGGGAACUCCAUUGGCUUCUUGCAUAAAGCUCUUUGCUCUCUGCCAGAGGAAAUGCUUUCCUGCAUCAGGGGCCACCCCUCCUUGACAAGCUAAGAGGAUUCUUAGCUUGCCACUUGUUGUUUUGCCUUUUAUCUGACUUUUCAUACCCUUGCGCCCCCCCCCCCACCGACUCCUGCUUUUCUCCUUAGUUCGCUAUAGAACACUUUUUUUUUUUUUUUUCCCAGCCACCUCCAUGGCAUAUGGAAAUUCCCCAGGCCAGGGAUCGAAUCUGAGCUGGAGCUGUGACCUACACUGCCGCUGCAGCAACACCAGAUCUUCUUAACCCACUUCAUGGGGCUGGGGAUCAAACCAGGACCUCCACAGAGAAGCAGGAUCAUUAACCCACUGCACCACUGCAGGAACUCCUAGAACACUUUUUAAGAAUCAGGAAUUCUCCCUCUCUGGAUGGAUGUGUCAGCUGGAGUCCUCCAGGAAGCAGACUCCAAGACAAAGUGCAAUAAAUCUGUUAGGAAUAACAUCUGUGGAAGAUAAAGGAGAGAAGGACCAGGAGUAUUAAGUGAUUGAGGGUCAGACCUUUUACAGUCUUCCUCUCUCCUCUGAGUCAUUGUUCCUUCCAAAUUAAAAUUCCGAUAAUAUCUAGAUUUAAAUAUACUCAUCACAAGAUCCAGCAUUUAAAAACACAUAUAUUCAUUAUGUUUAAGUGCUCCUUUUCCAAGGGGAUUAUUAGUCUGGGUCCUCAAAUAACCCAAGAUGGGAUUAAUCACGCAAGGGUUUUAUUAGGGGAAAUUCCUGUGUAAAAGAAAACAGGCAGGAAACUAAAACAGGCUGAGAGAGCUGUCAGACUGCUAUGUAAGUCUGACCCUAAGUGAAGAAUAGAGGUAGAAAAGUUUGGAUGUGAGCACCCUAGGCUUCCUUGCAGUCAGAGGGAGUUUUGGCAAAUCCAUCAGAGAAUUCCCAAGCAAAGUCCAUGAUCGGGUGAGUCUGCCUUAGUAUCCUGCCAUACUCAGUAAUUGAUGUACAGCCUUGGGAGCCCAUGGGAGGCAUGGCCUCAGUACAGAUGUAGUGAUUGAUUUCACAGUUCAGCAGCUGGAGCUGUGGUCAAUUACCCUUGCUGUAGUUGCAGAUCUGCAAGUCACAUUCUCAUGGCCACCACAGGGAGUAAUCAUAAAACUAUUACGUAAUGCAUACAUAGGCCGCCAUCUGCUUUACUUUUUUUUUUUUUUAAUCAUCAUCUGAGAUGAGAUGAGAUAGCUUUAUGACAAUCAUUUUAUUUAAUUCCAAUAAAAACUCUGCGUUAGGGACUAUCGUUAUUCUUGUUUUUAUCAAUGAGGAAAAUUUGGAUCAGACAGGUUGAAUAACUUGUCCAAGAUCACACAGUUUGCAGGUGUCCUGCCUGGAAUUGAAUUCGAAUAGAUCUAAAGUCAAUGUGACAGGUAUUGUGUUUGGGCCUGAGUGAAUGCAUGAGAGAAAGUCCAACCCUCAGGGAGUUGACAGUACCUGUUUUCCUCCCCGUAACCCUGUUCUUCCUCUGCUCCCAGCCUUAAUAGCUGUCAUUUACUGAUGGCUUCUCUGUGCCACUGUGUCACUAUGCUAAGUGCCUUAUAGACAUUAGCUCACCUAGUCCUCAAACCCCCAUCCCUGCUGAAUGGGUAUUAUUAGCCCUGUUUUACAUAUGAAGAAACAAGAUUUAAAAAUAUCACUGCUAUGAAGUAUAGCUAAUUUUUAUUGGGCUCUACGUAUAAACUAUAACUAUUGGCUGCAUUUGCGGCAUGUGAAAUUUCCCCGUCCAGGGAUCAAACCCGCGUCACAGCAGCAAUCCGAGCCGCUGCAGUGACACUAAAUCCUUAACCAGCUGCACCACAAGAGAACUCCCAAAGCAUAGCUGAUAUUUAUUGAGCUCUUACAAUAACUUUAUGAAGUAGCUGCUCUUAUUAUUUCCAUUAAACUGAAUUGAAGCACAAUUGGUUGAACAGCCUUCCCAAGGAAAGGCAGCUAAGUAAGUGAUGGAGUCAAACCCAGGUAUUGUGGUUUCAGAGCUUGCUUAACCACUGUGCCAAAAUGCCCAAUGCCAGGAAAGUUGGAUUUGCAUCCCUAGUCUGUCUGACUCCAAGUUAUUCUCUGUCCAGGCCAUAUAUUGCUCCUCUGCUCAACUGAUCCCCAUUCCUUUAUUCUUUUUUGGAGGCAGGGGAAACUAUCCACUUUCUCAACAAACACUCACUGAAUACCUACUAUAUAUGCUAUAUAUUAGGAAAACAGGAUAUCCAACCAAAGAAGGAUUAUGCAGCCAUAAAAAAAGAAAAGAUCUUAAUAUACUUAUAUGUCAUAAUCUCUGGUGGGAUGUAUUGUUUUUGUUUGUUUGCUUGUUUUUGCUUUUUAGGGCCGUACCCGGGGCAUAUGUAGGUUCCCAGGCUAGGGGUCAAAUCAGAACUACAGCUGCCAGCCUAUGCCACAGCCACAACAAUGUGGGAUCCAAGCUGUGUCUGCAACCUACACCACAGCUCACAGCAACACCAGAUCAUUAACCCCGCUGAGUGAGGCCAGGGAUCAAACCCACAACCUCAUGGUUCCUAGUUGGAUUCAUUUCCACUGCUCCAUGACAGGAAUUCCUGUUUGUUUGGGUUUUUUCUGCCAUACUCAAAGCAUGCAGAAGUUCCUGGGCCUGAGAUGGAGCCUGAGCCACAGUAGUUACAUGGUCAGAUCUUUAACUGCUAGGUCACCAGGGAACUCUCAUGGGAUUAUAUUAAGUGAAAAAGCAAGGUGCAGAAGAAUACGGUCGACCCUCCCUACUGGCAGAUGUGUAAGGAAGAAAGGACCUUUGUCAUUGCUAUGAUUUGAGUCACUGCUGUGGCAUGGCUUUGAUCCUGGCUCUGGAACUUCUGCAUGCCACAGGUGUGGCCAAAAAAAAAAAAAAAAAAAAAAAAAAAAAAAA